AGAGCUGCAUCGUGAAGUACCUGCAGACCAGCAAGUACUGCCCCAUGUGCAACACCAAGAUCCACGAGACACAGCCGCUGCUCAACCUCAAGCUGGACCGUGUCAUGCAGGACAUCGUCUACAAGCUGGUGCCCGGCCUGCAGGAGAGAUCCGACCAGCCCUUGGGGGAGGAUCUUCAUGCAUAAAAGCAGUUUUAGAGCAGAGAAAAAGAAAGCAGGAACACAGUGCUCACAAAGGUGAAGAGAAGAGGAUC
This is a non-coding RNA of Struthio camelus australis, 253 nucleotides long. NCBI's taxonomy places the organism in Eukaryota, Metazoa, Chordata, Aves, Struthioniformes, Struthionidae. The record is from RefSeq and is a predicted model, not a curated record.